This 125-nucleotide microRNA precursor is filed under the name Brassica napus (rape). RNAcentral's name for it is "MIR9563 microRNA precursor family". It matches the Rfam family "MIR9563 microRNA precursor family". The record is from Rfam by way of RNAcentral. Lineage: Eukaryota; Viridiplantae; Streptophyta; Magnoliopsida; Brassicales; Brassicaceae.
GGAAUAUAAGAACCCGUCUCUUAACUUUUAACUAAAAAAACUAAGAACCGGCUCUUAAAUAAGAGUUUUAAGAGCCGGUUCUUAACUUUUUUAGUUAAAAGUUAAGAGACGGGUUCUUAUAUUCC